RNAcentral lists this unclassified non-coding RNA (245 nucleotides) under Hevea brasiliensis (rubber tree). Lineage: Eukaryota; Viridiplantae; Streptophyta; Magnoliopsida; Malpighiales; Euphorbiaceae. The record is from RNAcentral.
AAUGAAGUGGAUAGGAUGGUGGAAGAACAAUUGAUGGUGGAAGAACAACUGAAGGUGGAAGAACAAUUGUCUAAAUCGAUGUGGAAACAAAAGAAACAAUUGUCUACAGUAGAGGAAAAGCUUUUUCAAUUGAUGCUGGAGAGGAUAAAAGAAGCGGAUAGCAUGGAGGAAGAACAAUUGUUGAAACAAGUGAUGACAGAAGAACAAUUGUCUAAAUUUGAGUUGAAAGAAAUGGAAGAGGAAAA